AGAGUUUGAUCAUGGCUCAGAUUGAACGCUGGCGGCAUGCCUUACACAUGCAAGUCGAACGGCAGCACGGGAGCUUGCUCCUGGUGGCGAGUGGCGAACGGGUGAGUAAUAUAUCGGAACGUACCCUAGAGUGGGGGAUAACGCAGCGAAAGUUGCGCUAAUACCGCAUACGAUCUACGGAUGAAAGUGGGGGAUCGCAAGACCUCAUGCUCAUGGAGCGGCCGAUAUCUGAUUAGCUAGUUGGUGGGGUAAAGGCCUACCAAGGCUUCGAUCAGUAGCUGGUCUGAGAGGACGACCAGCCACACUGGAACUGAGACACGGUCCAGACUCCUACGGGAGGCAGCAGUGGGGAAUUUUGGACAAUGGGCGAAAGCCUGAUCCAGCAAUGCCGCGUGAGUGAAGAAGGCCUUCGGGUUGUAAAGCUCUUUUGUCAGGGAAGAAACGGUGGACUCUAAUACAGAUCACUAAUGACGGUACCUGAAGAAUAAGCACCGGCUAACUACGUGCCAGCAGCCGCGGUAAUACGUAGGGUGCGAGCGUUAAUCGGAAUUACUGGGCGUAAAGCGUGCGCAGGCGGAUUGUUAAGCAAGAUGUGAAAUCCCCGGGCUUAACCUGGGAAUGGCAUUUUGAACUGGCAGUCUAGAGUGCGUCAGAGGGGGGUGGAAUUCCACGUGUAGCAGUGAAAUGCGUAGAGAUGUGGAGGAACACCGAUGGCGAAGGCAGCCCCCUGGGGAUGACACUGACGCUCAUGUACGAAAGCGUGGG
RNAcentral lists this ribosomal RNA (765 nucleotides) under uncultured Pseudomonadota bacterium. RNAcentral describes it as "bacterial SSU rRNA". It matches the Rfam family "Bacterial small subunit ribosomal RNA", at positions 8 to 765 of the family's 1533-position model. The record is from RNAcentral. Lineage: Bacteria; Pseudomonadati; Pseudomonadota.